CCUACGGGGGGCAGCAGUGGGGAAUAUUGCACAAUGGGGGAAACCCUGAUGCAGCGACGCCGCGUGCGUGAAGAAGUAUUUCGGUAUGUAAAGCUCUAUCAGCAGGGAAGUAAAAAGACGGUACCUGACUAAGAAGCCCCGGCUAACUACGUGCCAGUAGCCGCGGUAAUACGUAGGGGGCAAGCGUUAUCCGGAUUUACUGGGUGUAUAGGGAGCGUAGACGGUAUGGCAAGUCUGAAGUGAAAGCCCAGGGCUUAACCCUGGGACUGCUUGGGAAACUGUUAGACUAGAGUGCUGGUGAGGUAAGUGGAAUGCAUGGUGUAGCGGUGAAAUGCGUAGAUAUUA
This 345-nucleotide ribosomal RNA is filed under the name uncultured bacterium. RNAcentral describes it as "partial 16S ribosomal RNA". It matches the Rfam family "Bacterial small subunit ribosomal RNA", at positions 338 to 699 of the family's 1533-position model. The record is from RNAcentral.